UGAGGAAUAUUGGUCAAUGGGGGCAACCCUGAACCAGCCAAGUCGCGUGAAGGAUGAAGGUCUUAUGGAUUGUAAACUUCUUUUAUACAGGAAUAAAUUGGGGGACGUGUCCCCUUUUGCAUGUACUGUAUGAAUAAGGAUCGGCUAACUCCGUGCCAGCAGCCGCGGUAAUACGGUGGAUCCGAGCGUUAUCCGGAUUUAUUGGGUUUAAAGGGUGCGCAGGCGGGAUGUUAAGUCGGCGGUGAAAUUUUGCAGCUCAACUGUAAAAGUGCCUUCGAUACUGGCUUGCUUGAGUGUGGAUGAAGUAGGCGGAAUUUGUGGUGUAGCGGUGAAAUGCUUAGAUAUCACGAGGAACUCCGAUUGCGCAGGCAGCUUACUAAGCCACAACUGACGCUCAUGCACGAAGGCGUGGGGAUCAAACA
Molecule: ribosomal RNA, 422 nt
Filed under: uncultured bacterium
Lineage: Bacteria
Description: bacterial SSU rRNA
Rfam family: Bacterial small subunit ribosomal RNA
Source: RNAcentral